GGCUCUGCCUCUCCCUCAAACCUUGUCUCCUGUGUGUUUGGCUUUUGAAAAACAAACCCUGGACUUUGUGUUUCCCAUCUCGCCCAGUGUCAGAGAAACGUGGGCAGAAGGAGAGAACGGAGAAUGUUAGUGAAGAAAAAAAAAAACAAAAACCUGAGUGAACAGCACAGACUGUCACCCACCACAGUGGCUUGAGAAUCAUGCAUGGAGUGUCUUCUGGACCCUGAGGUGGCACACGUGGCUUCUCCUUUCUCACUGCCCUGGCUUAGGACUGCGGUCAGAUGCCCAGGUUCCAGCUGCCCUGUCUCACAUCAGCGCUGCCACUGUCUUGACCUUGCCCAUGGAAAGCAGCAACUCCAGCAUUGCCCCCAUCAUGUCUAUUGCUGUGGGAACCUCCGUGGAUCUGGAACCCAGGCUGUAUGGUCAGGUCAGUCAAGAUGGCUGUUCUCUUGUUCUCUGUACAUCCCCUGAUGGACUGGUCCUUGCUCCACCUAUAUCCUACUCGCAUGACCGACCUUCCCUCUUAGUACGUACUUGCCC
RNAcentral lists this long non-coding RNA (540 nucleotides) under Bos indicus x Bos taurus (hybrid cattle). Its description in RNAcentral is "lncRNA (ENSBIXG00005014235.1)". The record is from RNAcentral. Lineage: Eukaryota; Metazoa; Chordata; Mammalia; Artiodactyla; Bovidae.